AUUAGCCUGCAUGUCUCAGUGCAAGCUAUACUAAAGUGAAACCGCGAAUGGCUCAUUAAAUCAGUUAUGGUUCCUUAGAUGAAAGACAGUUACUUGGAUAACUGUGGUAAUUCUAGAGCUAAUACAUGCAACUCUGUCCCGACCGGAGACGGAAGGGACGCUUUUAUUAGAUCAAAACCAAUCGGGCCCUCGGGUCCGUUUGCCUUGGUGACUCUGAAUAAAUUGUGGCAGAUCGCACGGUCCAAGCACCGGCGACGCAUCUUUCAAAUGUCUGCCUUAUCAACUGUCGAUGGUAGGUUUUGCGCCUACCAUGGUUGUAACGGGUAACGGGGAAUCAGGGUUCGAUUCCGGAGAGGGAGCCUGAGAAACGGCUACCACAUCCAAGGAAGGCAGCAGGCGCGCAAAUUACCCACUCCCGGCACGGGGAGGUAGUGACGAAAAAUAACGAUACGGGACUCAUCCGAGGCCCCGUAAUCGGAAUGAGCACACUUUAAAUCCUUUAACGAGUAUCCAUUGGAGGGCAAGUCUGGUGCCAGCAGCCGCGGUAAUUCCAGCUCCAAUAGCGUAUAUUAAAGUUGUUGCGGUUAAAAAGCUCGUAGUCGGACUUGUGUCCCACGCUGCCGGUUCACCGCCCGUCGGUGUCUAACUGGCAUGUUCGUGCGGACGUCCUGUUGGUGGCCUUUCCCGAGCUGUGUCCUUCGGAGUGUCUGGAUUCCGUCUGCCGCAAGGUGGAUUGGGCCUUCGCUUCGUGGCGCGGUGAGGAGGGCCUAUUCGUACCCUUCGUGGUGCUCUUAGCCGAGUGUCUCGAUGGGCCGACACGUUUACUUUGAACAAAUUAGAGUGCUUAAAGCAGGCAGCAGCCGCCCGAAUACCGAGUGCAUGGAAUAAUGGAAAUAGGACCUCGGUUCUAUUUUGUUGGUUUUCGGAAUCCCCGAGGUAAUGAUCAAUAGGGACAGACGGGGGCAUUCGUAUUGCGACGUUAGAGGUGAAAUUCUUGGAUCGUCGCAAGACGGACCGAAGCGAAAGCAUUUGCCAAGAAUGUUUUUCCUCUG
RNAcentral lists this ribosomal RNA (1052 nucleotides) under Blattella nipponica. Its description in RNAcentral is "SSU rRNA". It matches the Rfam family "Eukaryotic small subunit ribosomal RNA", at positions 44 to 975 of the family's 1831-position model. Lineage: Eukaryota; Metazoa; Arthropoda; Insecta; Blattodea; Blattellidae. The record is from RNAcentral.